GCCGCCAUAGCUCAGUCGGUUAGAGCGUGCGUCUAAUAAGCCCAAGGUCGCAGGUUGGACCCCUGCUGGCGGCA
This 74-nucleotide transfer RNA is filed under the name Pristionchus pacificus. RNAcentral's name for it is "tRNA-Ile (AAT) (tRNA-Ile-AAT-2-1)". It matches the Rfam family "tRNA". Rfam says of the family: Transfer RNA (tRNA) molecules are approximately 80 nucleotides in length. Their secondary structure includes four short double-helical elements and three loops (D, anti-codon, and T loops). Lineage: Eukaryota; Metazoa; Nematoda; Chromadorea; Rhabditida; Neodiplogasteridae. The record is from Rfam by way of RNAcentral.